UACAGAGGUCUCAAGCGUUGUUCGGAUUCAUUGGGCGUAAAGGGUGCGUAGGUGGCGCCGUAAGUCAGGUGUGAAAUUUCGGAGCUUAACUCCGAAACUGCAUUUGAUACUGCGGUGCUUGAGGACUGGAGAGGAGACUGGAAUUCACGGUGUAGCAGUGAAAUGCGUAGAUAUCGUGAGGAAGACCAGUGGCGAAGGCGGGUCUCUGGACAGUUCCUGACACUGAGGCGCGAAGGCGUGGGGAGCGAACGGG
This 253-nucleotide ribosomal RNA is filed under the name uncultured bacterium. RNAcentral describes it as "partial 16S ribosomal RNA". It matches the Rfam family "Bacterial small subunit ribosomal RNA", at positions 524 to 776 of the family's 1533-position model. The record is from RNAcentral.